UUGCUUCCAGCAGCACAUAUACCAAAAUUGGAGUGAUAGAGAGAACAGCAUGGCCCCUGUGCAAGAAUGAUAUACCCAAUCAUAGCACAUUCUAUUGUUUUU
Molecule: small nuclear RNA, 102 nt
Organism: Dromiciops gliroides (monito del monte)
Lineage: Eukaryota; Metazoa; Chordata; Mammalia; Microbiotheria; Microbiotheriidae
Source: RefSeq, a predicted model, not a curated record